Molecule: ribosomal RNA, 253 nt
Filed under: uncultured bacterium
Lineage: Bacteria
Description: partial 16S ribosomal RNA
Rfam family: Bacterial small subunit ribosomal RNA
Source: RNAcentral
UACGUAGGGUGCAGGCGUUAAUCGGAAUUACUGGGCGUAAAGCGUGCGCAGGCGGCUCCUUAAGUCAGAUGUGAAAGCCCCGGGCUUAACCUGGGAACUGCAUUUGUGACUGCAUAGCUAGAGUGUGUCAGAGGGGGGUAGAAUUCCACGUGUAGCAGUGAAAUGCGUAGAUAUGUGGAGGAAUACCGAUGGCGAAGGCAGCCCCCUGGGAUAACACUGACGCUCAUGCACGAAAGCGUGGGGAGCAAACAGG